This 394-nucleotide ribosomal RNA is filed under the name uncultured bacterium. RNAcentral describes it as "bacterial SSU rRNA". It matches the Rfam family "Bacterial small subunit ribosomal RNA", at positions 329 to 739 of the family's 1533-position model. The record is from RNAcentral.
CCCCAGACUCCUACGGGAGGCAGCAGUGGGGGAUAUUGCACAAUGGGGGAAACCCUGAUGCAGCGACGCCGCGUGUGGGAAGACGGUCCUCUGGAUUGUAAACCACUGUCCCCAGGGACGAAAAUGACGGUACCUGACUAAGAAGCCCCGGCUAACUACGUGCCAGCAGCCGCGGUAAUACGUAGGGGGCAAGCGUUAUCCGGAUUUACUGGGUGUAAAGGGAGCGUAGACGGCAGAGCAAGUCUGAAGUGAAAGCCCGCGGCCCAACUGCGGGACUGCUUUGGAAACUGACCGGCUAGAGUGCUAGAGAGGUGAGCGGAAUUCCUAGUGUAGCGGUGAAAUGCGUAGAUAUUAGGAGGAACACCAGUGGCGAAGGCGGCUUACUGGACAGUAA